UGUCAACCUGUUGGGAAAUUAUAGCUGCUCCUCCUGCCAGAUCAGUCAGCUGAGAUGGAAACAUCAAUCUGAGAAGAUGUGCACUUUCUGUCGCAUGAGAAAAAAACAGAGAGGUGACAUGAUUGUCACAGAGGAAUCGUGGAGGACCACAAGGUUUAGAAGAUGGCUCAAUAUUCCAACCUUGCAAUUCUCAGAGAAAGUAAUGAGGUUAGUGUUAUCCUGAUGAACUCUCCCAGGCCACUGCAUGUGAGACCUUCCAUUUGGUAUGUUCUAUUUUAUAGAGACUCUUCAGAAGUUCUGAAGUUCUUGGAUUAAAUUAUAUUUCAUUCAUCACACCUAACAUAUUUAUUUGUCUCUUUUGAAAAUAAAUGUUUUCACAUUCCAUGUAAUUUCUCA
Molecule: long non-coding RNA, 396 nt
Filed under: Marmota marmota marmota (Alpine marmot)
Lineage: Eukaryota; Metazoa; Chordata; Mammalia; Rodentia; Sciuridae
Description: lncRNA (ENSMMMG00000011111.1)
Source: RNAcentral